This 498-nucleotide ribosomal RNA is filed under the name Meyerozyma guilliermondii. RNAcentral's name for it is "LSU rRNA". It matches the Rfam family "Eukaryotic large subunit ribosomal RNA", at positions 98 to 601 of the family's 3401-position model. The record is from RNAcentral. Lineage: Eukaryota; Fungi; Ascomycota; Pichiomycetes; Serinales; Debaryomycetaceae.
GCGGCAAAAGCUCAAAUUUGAAAUCUGGCGCCUUCGGUGUCCGAGUUGUAAUUUGAAGAUUGUAACCUUGGGGUUGGCUCUUGUCUAUGUUUCUUGGAACAGGACGUCACAGAGGGUGAGAAUCCCGUGCGAUGAGAUGCCCAAUUCUAUGUAAGGUGCUUUCGAAGAGUCGAGUUGUUUGGGAAUGCAGCUCUAAGUGGGUGGUAAAUUCCAUCUAAAGCUAAAUAUUGGCGAGAGACCGAUAGCGAACAAGUACAGUGAUGGAAAGAUGAAAAGAACUUUGAAAAGAGAGUGAAAAAGUACGUGAAAUUGUUGAAAGGGAAGGGUUUGAGAUCAGACUCGAUAUUUUGUGAGCCUUGCCUUCGUGGCGGGGUGACCCGCAGCUUAUCGGGCCAGCAUCGGUUUGGGCGGUAGGAUAAUGGCGUAGGAAUGUGACUUUACUUCGGUGAAGUGUUAUAGCCUGCGUUGAUGCUGCCUGCCUAGACCGAGGACUGCGAU